CCUCUUUGCGGGGGCCGGAUUCCACCCUAUAUCUAACAACGUCGGGCAACCGACUAUGGCGAUAAACGCUGUGUGGAAUAGACGUUACGGACCCGGGGGCGGUACCCGGCGCCUCCACCAUUCCUGCCCACCAGGGCAUCCGAUGGGGGCGAAACAGGAUCGACGUGCGUGGUAAAGGCAUGGUUUUCGCUCGGCAUGGUUCCGCCGUUACCGGGCCAUACUCACAGGUGCCAACGACAACGUUGCACCCGCUCUGAAGGCCGCUGCCUAACCACCCGCUAGGGUGUUAGGGCACUAGCUCAAGAACGCGGUUCGGGGGGCACCGGGCAACAGAAGCCCCCCACU
RNAcentral lists this transfer-messenger RNA (345 nucleotides) under Alphaproteobacteria bacterium. It matches the Rfam family "Alphaproteobacteria transfer-messenger RNA". Rfam says of the family: Bacterial tmRNA, also known as 10Sa RNA or SsrA, is named for its dual tRNA and mRNA-like properties. Its role is to liberate the mRNA from a stalled ribosome. The record is from RNAcentral. Lineage: Bacteria; Pseudomonadati; Pseudomonadota; Alphaproteobacteria.